UAAGGAAUAUUGGUCAAUGGACGCAAGUCUGAACCAGCCAUGCCGCGUGAAGGAUGAAGGUCCUCUGGAUUGUAAACUUCUUUUAUCUGGGACGAAAACGGGAUUUUUAUCUCAAUUGACGGUACCAGAGGAAUAAGCACCGGCUAACUCCGUGCCAGCAGCCGCGGUAAUACGGAGGGUGCGAGCGUUAUCCGGAUUUACUGGGUUUAAAGGGUGCGUAGGUGGGCUUAUAAGUCAGUGGUGAAAUCUCCGAGCUUAACUUGGAAACUGCCGUUGAUACUAUAGGUCUUGAAUUAUCUGGAGGUAAGCGGAAUAUGUCAUGUUGCGGUGAAAUGCUUAGAUAUGACAUAGAACACCAAUUGCGAAGGCAGCUUACUACAUAUAAAUUGACGCUGAGGCACGAAAGCGUGGGGAUCAAACA
Molecule: ribosomal RNA, 421 nt
Filed under: uncultured bacterium
Lineage: Bacteria
Description: bacterial SSU rRNA
Rfam family: Bacterial small subunit ribosomal RNA
Source: RNAcentral